RNAcentral lists this long non-coding RNA (225 nucleotides) under Malus domestica (apple). Its description in RNAcentral is "long non-coding RNA (MDOM_LNC019578)". Lineage: Eukaryota; Viridiplantae; Streptophyta; Magnoliopsida; Rosales; Rosaceae. The record is from RNAcentral.
CAAACUUGGACGAAUUUUGGUUUUCUAAUGAACUAAAACACUUAAAAACAUAAUAUAAGACAAGUUCUAAUUAAUAUGACUCAAAGAAAUAAGAUGGGGUUGAUUUUGGACGAAAAUAAUUAAAUUAAGACAAGAACAAAGUAAAUAGAUUCUUAGACAAAUUUGGGUGAAUCAAAACACUUAAAAACACAAACUAAAGUGAUUACUAACUAAUCUAACACUUUG